UCGCUCCGCGGCCGCGCGGAGCUGUUUCCCGGGGGCGGAUUUCUCGCUUCUUCCUCCCUGGAUCCACCUCCUCCCACUCCACCUCCUUCCCCUCCCCUCCCCAGGGGAGGCUCUGGGGCUGAAUAUUUUCUGUCUUGAAUAACACGGGCCCGGGAAACCGACGCUGGAGAAGGGGGAUUACCCGGAGGCCGGAGGGGGGUGCUCGCCUGCCCCCUCCCCGUGGGUCGCGGGACCUACAAGCCCUCGCUCCCCAGCACCCCAAAACCAGGCACACACAACCCUCCCCGCCCCUGCAGUCUCCCAAGCGCUGAGUGGCAGCGUCCAGGGAUGGGCUUGCUCCCGGGGAAGGAGACCUGGUGGUAGGCGUCUGGGGUGGAGAGGGGGACAAGCCUAUAACAGCGACACCUGCAGACUCGAGGGAUCAAAGGUCCUAGACCGGGGGACGGGGAUUGGCAAAUUGUGCCCCCCCUUUUUUGCAGCGGGCAGGCAAUGAAGCUGCGACCAGACGUGGGACUUGCAGAUAAGGGAGUGUCCCUUCACGCCUCACAGCAAAAUCUCUUCCUGUGGUGGGAAGGGGGAAGUUAGCCAAGCGUUGCUCAUUCAGUUCUUUCCCUUUUAUAAAUUCUGCAGAGCGACUGAGCGAAUUUGGCGCGGCUAGCGGAACUGUGAAGAGGCUGCUGCGCUUCUCUGUCCGCCACACUUCAGGUCACAGCGGCUCCGGAGCCGCGGCACAACCGCCUCCUUCCCCACCCAGCUCCCGGGCCUUGUCACAGACCCCGGCAGUUCGCUCCGCCCCACCGCGCCUCACAACAUCUCCCGCUGCAAAUUGUCCAAUCGGGAGACACGAUGGGAGAACGCGAGCCAAUCAGAGACUGUGCUCCUGCUGGUGCUGUUGAGGGUCAUUUUUAUCCUCACUGCGGCGGGGGACUGCCAGCUAUUGUGUCUGAUCAGCUGCCACCGCCGUCCAGAGGGAAAAAAAAGAGGAACAAAACCUAGAAGCUAUGGAGUCCGCUUACCUUUUCCUUCUUUCUUGCUACUCUCCCCUGUAGACUUAGAGUCUUCCCCCGCCCGCCCACCACCUGAGGUCCUGUUUCUUUGUGGGGGACAGGGGAGCGGGGACAUAAAGCAUGCCCUGCAGCUGGGGCACCUGCGCCUUCGUUUUUACAUCUUCCUUAAAGUGGAUGGUGCCAAACCAAAUCGACAGCUAAAUCCUUCGCUUCAAUUCGAGGAAAGACGUUGA
Molecule: long non-coding RNA, 1240 nt
Filed under: Papio anubis (olive baboon)
Lineage: Eukaryota; Metazoa; Chordata; Mammalia; Primates; Cercopithecidae
Description: lncRNA (ENSPANG00000050973.1)
Source: RNAcentral